Molecule: ribosomal RNA, 253 nt
Filed under: uncultured bacterium
Lineage: Bacteria
Description: partial 16S ribosomal RNA
Rfam family: Bacterial small subunit ribosomal RNA
Source: RNAcentral
GACGUAGGAGGCGAGCGUUGUCCGGAUUCAUUGGGCGUAAAGAGCACGCAGGCGGUUUGGCAAGUCGGAUGUGAAAACCCGAAGCUCAACUUCGGGCCUGCAUCCGAAACUGCCCGACUAGAGGUAGGUAGGGGAGAUCGGAAUUCCUGGUGUAGCGGUGAAAUGCGUAGAGAUCGGGAGGAACACCGGCGGCGAAGGCGGCUGCCUGGACCAGUCCUGACGCUGAGGCGCGAAAGCUAGGGGAGCAAACAGG